RNAcentral lists this ribosomal RNA (460 nucleotides) under uncultured bacterium. Its description in RNAcentral is "partial 16S ribosomal RNA". It matches the Rfam family "Bacterial small subunit ribosomal RNA", at positions 338 to 795 of the family's 1533-position model. The record is from RNAcentral.
CCUACGGGAGGCAGCAGUGAGGAAUAUUGGUCAAUGGCCGGAAGGCUGAACCAGCCAUGCCGCGUGAAGGUCAGUGCCCUAUGGGCGUUAAACUUCUUUUGUGCGGGAGCAAUAAUGGUCACGUGUGGCCAGACGAGAGUACCGUACGAAUAAGCAUCGGCUAACUCCGUGCCAGCAGCCGCGGUAAUACGGGGGAUGCAAGCGUUAUACGGAUUAAUUGGGUUUAAAGGGUGCGUAGGCUGUGAGGUAAGUCAGCGGUGAAAUGCCCCCGCUCAACGGGGUGAAGUGCCAUUGAUACUGCCGUGCUGGAAUGCGGAUGCCGUGGGAGGAAUGUGUGGUGGAGCGGGGAAAUGCAGAGAUAUCACACAGAACACCGAUUGCGAAGGCAUCUCACGAAUCCGCGAUUGACGCUGAUGCACGAAAGCGUGGGUAUCAAACAGGAUUAGAUACCCCAGUAGUC